CAAGAAGUUGCCCAUCUGUGAAUCCCAAAACUUUGCUGGGGCUGUACCCCUGCUCCUCUGGCUGCUUAAGACCAGGAACAAAGACUCCAAGGAGACUCUGGGCAAGUAUGGAGGGAAAUACGUUCCUCAUAGAAUGGCCUCCAGGAGCCCCUUCCUGUGUUGUUGGGAGUGUGGAGCCACUAUUGCCAGGACUGGCUACAUAAUUUGCAGCACCCAAUGCAAAAUGAAAAUGUG
This 234-nucleotide long non-coding RNA is filed under the name Homo sapiens (human). RNAcentral's name for it is "non-protein coding lnc-CDC25A-1:1". The record is from RNAcentral. Lineage: Eukaryota; Metazoa; Chordata; Mammalia; Primates; Hominidae.